GAGCGGUAAGGCCCUUCGGGGUACACGAGCGGCGAACGGGUGAGUAACACGUGGGUAACCUGCCCUGUACUCUGGGAUAAGCCCGGGAAACUGGGUCUAAUACCGGAUAUGACCCUGGUGCGCAUGGUGCGGGGUGGAAAGUUCCGGCGGUACAGGAUGGACCCGCGGCCUAUCAGCUUGUUGGUGGGGUAAUGGCCUACCAAGGCGACGACGGGUAGCCGGCCUGAGAGGGUGACCGGCCACACUGGGACUGAGACACGGCCCAGACUCCUACGGGAGGCAGCAGUGGGGAAUAUUGCACAAUGGGCGAAAGCCUGAUGCAGCGACGCCGCGUGAGGGAUGACGGCCUUCGGGUUGUAAACCUCUUUCAGCAGGGACGAAGCGCAAGUGACGGUACCUGCAGAAGAAGCACCGGCUAACUACGUGCCAGCAGCCGCGGUAAUACGUAGGGUGCGAGCGUUGUCCGGAAUUAUUGGGCGUAAAGAGCUCGUAGGCGGUUUGUCGCGUCGGCCGUGAAAACUUGGGGCUUAACCCCGAGCCUGCGGUCGAUACGGGCAGACUUGAGUUCGGCAGGGGAGACUGGAAUUCCUGGUGUAGCGGUGAAAUGCGCAGAUAUCAGGAGGAACACCGGUGGCGAAGGCGGGUCUCUGGGCCGAUACUGACGCUGAGGAGCGAAAGCGUGGGGAGCGAACAGGAUUAGAUACCCUGGUAGUCCACGCCGUAAACGGUGGGUGCUAGGUGUGGGGGACUUCCACGUUCUCCGUGCCGCAGCUAACGC
RNAcentral lists this ribosomal RNA (778 nucleotides) under Lentzea sp. RNAcentral's name for it is "bacterial SSU rRNA". It matches the Rfam family "Bacterial small subunit ribosomal RNA", at positions 64 to 858 of the family's 1533-position model. The record is from RNAcentral. Lineage: Bacteria; Bacillati; Actinomycetota; Actinomycetes; Pseudonocardiales; Pseudonocardiaceae.